GGUUUUAUAUUCAAUUAUGAUUUUAGACUGCAAUUCUAAAGCUGUAAAUAUUACUAAGGCCU
This 62-nucleotide transfer RNA is filed under the name Paropaon sp. OR337. RNAcentral's name for it is "tRNA-Cys". The record is from RNAcentral. Lineage: Eukaryota; Metazoa; Arthropoda; Insecta; Orthoptera; Acrididae.